RNAcentral lists this non-coding RNA (168 nucleotides) under Brucella daejeonensis. RNAcentral describes it as "Ochrobactrum daejeonense sRNA CI27". It matches the Rfam family "Brucella sRNA CI27". The record is from RNAcentral. Lineage: Bacteria; Pseudomonadati; Pseudomonadota; Alphaproteobacteria; Hyphomicrobiales; Brucellaceae.
GCAACGCUUAAAGCAUGUCUCCCGAAAGGGAACCGGUUUCGGGAUAAAGACAUGCGUAAAAACAAAAGCUUAAAGCGUGUUGCCUGAAUAAGAUUGAACGCAACACGCUUUAGGCUUUCAAUCUCGGCACGGCCUUGAUCAGCGCCUUGCUGAUCGGCGCUUGCGGUG